GAUGAAGAACGGCAGCGAAAUGCGAUACGUAAUGUGAAUUGCAGAAUUCAGUGAAUCAUCGAAUCUUUGAACGCACAUUGCGCCCGCCAGUAUUCUGGCGGGCAUGCCUGUCUGAGCGUCAUUUCAACCCUCAUGCCCCUAGGGCGUGGUGUUGGGGAUCGGCCAAAGCCCGCGAGGGACGGCCGGCCCCUAAAUCUAGUGGCGGACCCGUCGUGGCCUCCUCUGCGAAGUAGUGAUAUUCCGCAUCGGAGAGCGACGAGCCCCUGCCGUUAAACCCCCAACUUUCCAAGGUUGACCUCAGAUCAGGUAGGAAUACCCGCUGAACUUAAGCAUAUCAAUAAGCGGAGGA
This 349-nucleotide unclassified non-coding RNA is filed under the name soil metagenome. Its description in RNAcentral is "partial contains 5.8S ribosomal RNA, internal transcribed spacer 2, and large subunit ribosomal RNA". The stretch from base 1 to 121 matches the Rfam family "5.8S ribosomal RNA", at positions 35 to 154 of the family's 154-position model. The record is from RNAcentral.